CCCUUAGAUGUCCUGGGCCGCACGCGCGUUACACUGAUGCAUUCAACGAGCUUAUAACCUUGGCCGAGAGGCCUGGGCAAUCUUGUUAACGUGCAUCGUGAUAGGGAUAGAUUAUUGAAAUUAUUAAUCUUGAACGAGGAAUUCCUAGUAAACGCAGAUCAUCAAUCUGCAUUGAUUACGUCCCUGCCCUUUGUACACACCGCCCGUCGCUACUACCGAUUGAACGUUUUAGUGAGGCAUUUGGACCGACGCAUCUCAGUUUAACCGCUGGUUUGUGUUGGAAAGACUUCCAAACUUGAGCGUUUAGAGGAAGUAAAAGUCGUAACA
Molecule: ribosomal RNA, 327 nt
Filed under: uncultured eukaryote
Lineage: Eukaryota
Description: partial 18S ribosomal RNA
Rfam family: Eukaryotic small subunit ribosomal RNA
Source: RNAcentral